This 577-nucleotide ribosomal RNA is filed under the name uncultured bacterium. RNAcentral describes it as "partial 16S ribosomal RNA". It matches the Rfam family "Bacterial small subunit ribosomal RNA", at positions 355 to 932 of the family's 1533-position model. The record is from RNAcentral.
UGGGGAAUUUUGGACAAUGGGCGAAAGCCUGAUCCAGCAAUGCCGCGUGUGUGAAGAAGGCCUUCGGGUUGUAAAGCACUUUUGUCCGGAAAGAAAUCCUUGGCUCUAAUACAGUCGGGGGAUGACGGUACCGGAAGAAUAAGCACCGGCUAACUACGUGCCAGCAGCCGCGGUAAUACGUAGGGUGCAAGCGUUAAUCGGAAUUACUGGGCGUAAAGCGUGCGCAGGCGGUUUGCUAAGACCGAUGUGAAAUCCCCGGGCUCAACCUGGGAACUGCAUUGGUGACUGGCAGGCUAGAGUAUGGCAGAGGGGGGUAGAAUUCCACGUGUAGCAGUGAAAUGCGUAGAGAUGUGGAGGAAUACCGAUGGCGAAGGCAGCCCCCUGGGCCAAUACUGACGCUCAUGCACGAAAGCGUGGGGAGCAAACAGGAUUAGAUACCCUGGUAGUCCACGCCCUAAACGAUGUCAACUAGUUGUUGGGAUUCAUUCCUUAGUAACGUAGCUAACGCGUGAAGUUGACCGCCUGGGGAGUACGGUCGCAAGAUUAAAACUUAAAGGAAUUGACGGGGUCAUAGCUG